RNAcentral lists this ribosomal RNA (456 nucleotides) under Triticum aestivum (bread wheat). Its description in RNAcentral is "partial small subunit ribosomal RNA". Lineage: Eukaryota; Viridiplantae; Streptophyta; Magnoliopsida; Poales; Poaceae. The record is from RNAcentral.
GGAACCCGCAAGUUGGUCACCAAAACAUACAUCAAGUGGCACAUGAUAUCCCAUUGUCACCACAGAUAAGCACGGCAAGACAUACAUCAAGUGUUCUCAUAAAAGACUCAAUCCGAUAAGAUAACUUCAAAGGGGAAACUCAAUUCAUCACAAGAGAGUAGAGGGGGAGAAACAUCAUAAGAUCCAACUACAAUAGCAAAGCUCGGGAUACAUCAAGAUCGUGCCAUAGAGGGAACACGAGAGAGAACACGAGAGAGAGAGAGAUCAAACACAUAGCUACUGGUACAUACCCUCAGCCCCGAGGGUGAACUACUCCCUCCUCGUCAUGGAGAGCGCCGGGAUGAUGAAGAUGGCCACCGGUGAUGGGUUCCCCCUCCGGCAGGGUGCCGGAACGGGCUCCCGAGAGGUUUUUGGUGGCUACAGAGGCUUGCGGCGGCGGAACUCCCGAUCUAUCUU